Molecule: ribosomal RNA, 465 nt
Filed under: uncultured Klebsiella sp.
Lineage: Bacteria; Pseudomonadati; Pseudomonadota; Gammaproteobacteria; Enterobacterales; Enterobacteriaceae
Description: bacterial SSU rRNA
Rfam family: Bacterial small subunit ribosomal RNA
Source: RNAcentral
CCUACGGGAGGCAGCAGUGGGGAAUAUUGCACAAUGGGCGCAAGCCUGAUGCAGCCAUGCCGCGUGUGUGAAGAAGGCCUUCGGGUUGUAAAGCACUUUCAGCGGGGAGGAAGGCGGUGAGGUUAAUAACCUCAUCGAUUGACGUUACCCGCAGAAGAAGCACCGGCUAACUCCGUGCCAGCAGCCGCGGUAAUACGGAGGGUGCAAGCGUUAAUCGGAAUUACUGGGCGUAAAGCGCACGCAGGCGGUCUGUCAAGUCGGAUGUGAAAUCCCCGGGCUCAAUCUGGGAACUGCAUUCGAAACUGGCAGGCUAGAGUCUUGUAGAGGGGGGUAGAAUUCCAGGUGUAGCGGUGAAAUGCGUAGAGAUCUGGAGGAAUACCGGUGGCGAAGGCGGCCCCCUGGACAAAGACUGACGCUCAGGUGCGAAAGCGUGGGGAGCAAACAGGAUUAGAUACCCUUGUAGUC